RNAcentral lists this ribosomal RNA (256 nucleotides) under uncultured bacterium. Its description in RNAcentral is "partial 16S ribosomal RNA". It matches the Rfam family "Bacterial small subunit ribosomal RNA", at positions 74 to 334 of the family's 1533-position model. The record is from RNAcentral.
CAAUAUAAGUGAUGGCGACCGGCGCACGGGUGAGUAACACGUAUCCAACCUGCCGAUAACUCGGGGAUAGCCUUUCGAAAGAAAGAUUAAUACCCGAUGGUAUAAUAAAACCGCAUGGUUUAACUAUUAAAGAAUUUCGGUUAUCGAUGGGGAUGCGUUCCAUUAGGCAGUUGGUGAGGUAACGGCUCACCAAACCUUCGAUGGAUAGGGGUUCUGAGAGGAAGGUCCCCCACAUUGGAACUGAGACACGGUCCAA